UCCGGUUUAACACCGGCAGUCUCCCUAGAGUGCCCAACUGAAUGGUGGCAACUAAGGAUAGGGGUUGCGCUCGUUAAGGGACUUAACCCGACAUCUCACGAUACGAGCUGACGACAGCCAUGCAGCACCUGAACCACCAGUCCCCGAAGGGAAAACCGUAUCUCUACGGCUGUCUGAUGUUGUCUAACCUAGGUAAGGUUCUUCGCGUUGCAUCGAAUUAAACCACAUGCUCCACCGCUUGUGCGGGCCCCCGUCAAUUCCUUUGAGUUUUAACCUUGCGGCCGUACUUCCCAGGCGGGGUACUUAAUGCGUUAGCGUCGACACUGUAGGGGUCAAUUCCCACAACAUCUAGUACCCAUCGUUUACGGCGUGGACUAC
RNAcentral lists this unclassified non-coding RNA (378 nucleotides) under uncultured Oligoflexales bacterium. RNAcentral's name for it is "contains 16S-23S intergenic spacer region". The record is from RNAcentral. Lineage: Bacteria; Pseudomonadati; Bdellovibrionota; Oligoflexia; Oligoflexales.